Molecule: long non-coding RNA, 522 nt
Filed under: Ananas comosus (pineapple)
Lineage: Eukaryota; Viridiplantae; Streptophyta; Magnoliopsida; Poales; Bromeliaceae
Description: long non-coding RNA (ACOM_LNC024948)
Source: RNAcentral
UUACAAAUUAAUUAAAAAUAUAAAUUAUAAAAAAAUAAGUAUGACUUGUAAUUUUGAAGUUGAAAUUUAGAAAGUAUUUGCCGAAAUUAAUUUCAGGUUCAAUUAAUUCCUGUUCAAUUUAAUAUAAUUUUUUGAAAAAACUUCAAAUACUAUCCUGUGAUUUCGUGCUUUCUCACCUUAGUACGUACUUUAUGUUUUAAAAUGAAUUAUUUCCUAUUUUGUGAUUUUGUUUUUCUCUUUUUUUCUUAUCUCAUCGAUUAAUUUUUUCAUUAAAUCAAUGAAAAAGUUAAAACCACAUGGUACUUAAGCAAAAAUUCGAUAAACCACGGAGUAAUAAAGUGAAUAUUCAAUAAACCAUAGAUGGGUAUCUAAAGUAUUUUGUAUAUGAUUUAAUGGAGAAUUAAUAGAGACGCUGACGAAAAGAGAAAUAUAAAAUCACAUGAUAGUAAAGCAAUACACUUUAAACCACAAAAUACUAAAGUAAAAAAAAAUGAAACAACAAUGAUGACAUUUGAAAUUUUU